RNAcentral lists this unclassified non-coding RNA (252 nucleotides) under fungal sp. Its description in RNAcentral is "partial internal transcribed spacer region". The stretch from base 1 to 45 matches the Rfam family "Eukaryotic small subunit ribosomal RNA", at positions 1787 to 1831 of the family's 1831-position model. Lineage: Eukaryota; Fungi. The record is from RNAcentral.
AGUCGUAACAAGGUAACCGUAGGUGAACCUGCGGUUGGAUCAUUAACAAUGGUUUUCAAACCUUUUAUCUGUGCACCCUACAUCACUAUUCUGUCGGGCCCUUGGGCCUGACAGGAUAGUGUAUAUUGUUCAUCUCUUGCUCUUCUUUCCUCAAAGAAUGAAAAGCAAGAGACAUUUUUAAACCAUGUAUUUUAUCGAGUCUUGAAUUUGUAUUAAAAUGAAAAACUUUUGACAACGGAUCUCUUGGCUCUC